UAUUUCAAAUCAAUCAAUGAUUUGAAAUCUGCUGUUGAUCAAAAAGUCCUUAUUCGAGAGAUUGUCUUAAAUAGGAGACGUAGACGGAAAUUUGCACUUUUAUAUACUUUUGGUGGUCGCGCAAAAAGAGCGUUUAUCCUUCCAGAUUCUUUUUCUUACCCACUUGUCACUGUUUUCUGCUAAUUCCCAAUCGUGUUGUUGGUUAAGGGUAAGUUCAAUUUUGCAAUGUGUGCGUACAUAAAAAAAUAUUACACACUAGUAGAAUUAACCUUAGUUUAGCGUUUGUCUUAUUGACAUAAUAGUCU
This is a non-coding RNA of Schizosaccharomyces pombe (fission yeast), 305 nucleotides long. Lineage: Eukaryota; Fungi; Ascomycota; Schizosaccharomycetes; Schizosaccharomycetales; Schizosaccharomycetaceae. The record is from the annotation of a GenBank genome assembly.